This 731-nucleotide ribosomal RNA is filed under the name uncultured bacterium. RNAcentral's name for it is "bacterial SSU rRNA". It matches the Rfam family "Bacterial small subunit ribosomal RNA", at positions 771 to 1501 of the family's 1533-position model. The record is from RNAcentral.
AACAGGAUUAGAUACCCUGGUAGUCCACGCUGUAAACGAUGUCGACUUGGAGGUUGUUCCCUUGAGGAGUGGCUUCCGGAGCUAACGCGUUAAGUCGACCGCCUGGGGAGUACGGCCGCAAGGUUAAAACUCAAAUGAAUUGACGGGGGCCCGCACAAGCGGUGGAGCAUGUGGUUUAAUUCGAUGCAACGCGAAGAACCCUACCUACUCUUGACAUCCAGAGAACUUAGCAGAGAUGCUUUGGUGCCUUCGGGAACUCUGAGACAGGUGCUGCAUGGCUGUCGUCAGCUCGUGUUGUGAAAUGUUGGGUUAAGUCCCGCAACGAGCGCAACCCUUAUCCUUUGUUGCCAGCACGUAAUGGUGGGAACUCAAAGGAGACUGCCGGUGAUAAACCGGAGGAAGGUGGGGAUGACGUCAAGUCAUCAUGGCCCUUACGAGUAGGGCUACACACGUGCUACAAUGGCAUAUACAAAGAGAAGCGAACUCGCGAGAGCAAGCGGACCUCAUAAAGUAUGUCGUAGUCCGGAUUGGAGUCUGCAACUCGACUCCAUGAAGUCGGAAUCGCUAGUAAUCGUAGAUCAGAAUGCUACGGUGAAUACGUUCCCGGGCCUUGUACACACCGCCCGUCACACCAUGGGAGUGGGUUGCAAAAGAAGUAGGUAGCUUAACCUUCGGGAGGGCGCUUACCACUUUGUGAUUCAUGACUGGGGUGAAGUCGUAACAAGGUAACC